AAAANACAAAUUUGGGUUUAGUUAAAAAGAAUGAACCUAAUCACCAUGCUGCAACAUAAAUUUGGAGCAUGUUCCCACAAAUGGUUGUGCUAAUGUAUCCCAUAAUUUCAUCCUUAUAAGCUGUUGGAGUAUUUAUACGGCAUAUUUGAGAAGUUUUUCCACCAUCUCAAUAAAUUCAUUGGAUAGCUUCUAGAAGUAUUUAGGAGUUAUGGAUUUAUCCUAAUCGUUGAAUUGAAGUUUUAGAAAUAAAGGAAUGGUAAUAUCUUAACAACCAACUCUUCUUCACCUGUUUGCAUCAUUGCUAGCUUCCACAAGAAGUACAAAAAUAUAUAGGAAGCGAAGAUGCAUUUCCAUAUGACCAUUUAUUUAGUAAGUUGUACAUCAAAUGAAUGCAUAUACUCACCCUGUAUCCACUCAACUGAUCAUCAAGUUUGGGUGAAUAUUGUGCCUCACCAACUCAUUUACUUUCUGCAAUUAUUCACAUAGAUAUUAGCAACUACAACUGUGAACAGUACUUACUCUAAUAGAGAAGAUUUAUUAGUAUAGUUUUUUGUAUGUGCAUAUAACUGUAAACUGGGUACAACCCAAAAAGCCAUUUAAGAUCCUCAAUCCGCAAAUGAAGGUAAUGAAGAAUAUACAAUAUACAAGAAAAUAGAAAAACUAAUUUAAACAAAUUACAAAAGGCAAAUAUAGGCAAUAUAAAAGGCUUGUUCAAGCUUAGUACUACAGAAUUAAGAUUCAACUACUAAUUUCCAUACAACAAACUAAUUUAAACAGAUUACAAAAGGCAAAUAUAGGAAUUAAAAUAUACGAAAAAGGCCCUCCAUUCAUAAUAGGAGAGAUUCCUAAUUCAUUCCUUAGAAUUUGGCAAUCUUUUAAAUUCUUGGCACUUAUCAAUAUAGCUAAAGUCGGGAUUGCCAUUUCACUGUCAUAAUGUAAUGAUGAAAGUGAAAGGAACUAUUCUCGAUCAAGAAUCCUAGGAAAGCAUGGCAAAAAUCGAAAUAAUUAAGAAGGAAAAAAAACAACUAGGGUGGCCAUACCUUGACAAUUUCUGUUUUCCAAAACAAGAAGAACGAGGGUUUUAGGGAUAGUUGCUUAGAGUGGGGAAGGGUUAGAGCGGGAGAUGUGCGGAUAUUUUUUGGGGGGGGAAUGGGUUGGGAGUCUAAAUAUUUUAGGUCUUAAGGGAAUGGAGAGAUUUGGGCUUUAAUCUUUUUUUUUU
This 1219-nucleotide long non-coding RNA is filed under the name Nicotiana tabacum (common tobacco). Its description in RNAcentral is "long non-coding RNA (NTAB_LNC007075)". Lineage: Eukaryota; Viridiplantae; Streptophyta; Magnoliopsida; Solanales; Solanaceae. The record is from RNAcentral.